GAUGAACGCUGUCUACAGGCUUAACACAUGCAAGUCGAGGGGAAACGCCGGGGAAGCUUGCUUCCCCGGGCGUCGACCGGCGCACGGGUGAGUAACGCGUAUCCAACCUGCCUCUGACUGAGGGAUAACCCGUCGAAAGUCGGCCUAAUACCUCAUGGCAUCGUCUGCGGGCAUCCAACGACGAUUAAAGAUUUCAUCGGUCAGGGAUGGGGAUGCGUCUGAUUAGCUUGUUGGCGGGGUAACGGCCCACCAAGGCUACGAUCAGUAGGGGUUCUGAGAGGAAGGUCCCCCACAUUGGAACUGAGACACGGUCCAAACUCCUACGGGAGGCAGCAGUGAGGAAUAUUGGUCAAUGGGCGGGAGCCUGAACCAGCCAAGUAGCGUGCAGGAUGACGGCCCUAUGGGUUGUAAACUGCUUUUAUGCGGGGAUAAAGUGAGGGACGUGUCCUUCAUUGCAGGUACCGAAUGAAUAAGGACCGGCUAAUUCCGUG
Molecule: ribosomal RNA, 491 nt
Filed under: uncultured bacterium
Lineage: Bacteria
Description: partial 16S ribosomal RNA
Rfam family: Bacterial small subunit ribosomal RNA
Source: RNAcentral